Aedes aegypti (yellow fever mosquito) is the source of this 46-nucleotide non-coding RNA. NCBI's taxonomy places the organism in Eukaryota, Metazoa, Arthropoda, Insecta, Diptera, Culicidae. The record is from Rfam.
CAAUCGGCCCUUUUCAGGGCCAACAAAUGGUUACUUAAAAGUUAUU